CAUGUACCGGUGGGGUCCCUCGGCCUGGCCUGUGCCCUCUCACAAUCCAAGACCCCUCAGGGAAUGUUGGAGAGCCAGUUUUGUCCCGAUCCCGCAGGCCAGGCCGAGGGGCCCCACUGGUGCACG
This 126-nucleotide microRNA precursor is filed under the name Myotis lucifugus (little brown bat). RNAcentral's name for it is "mir-9193 microRNA precursor family". It matches the Rfam family "mir-9193 microRNA precursor family". The record is from Rfam by way of RNAcentral. Lineage: Eukaryota; Metazoa; Chordata; Mammalia; Chiroptera; Vespertilionidae.